AUUGAACGCUGGCGGCAUGCCUUACACAUGCAAGUCGAACGGCAGCGCGGGAGCUUGCUCCUGGCGGCGAGUGGCGAACGGGUGAGUAAUACAUCGGAACGUACCCAGAAGUGGGGGAUAACGUAGCGAAAGUUACGCUAAUACCGCAUAUUCUGUGAGCAGGAAAGUGGGGGAUCGCAAGACCUCACGCUUUUGGAGCGGCCGAUGUCGGAUUAGCUAGUUGGUGGGGUAAAGGCUCACCAAGGCGACGAUCCGUAGCGGGUCUGAGAGGAUGAUCCGCCACACUGGGACUGAGACACGGCCCAGACUCCUACGGGAGGCAGCAGUGGGGAAUUUUGGACAAUGGGGGCAACCCUGAUCCAGCCAUGCCGCGUGAGUGAAGAAGGCCUUCGGGUUGUAAAGCUCUUUCGCGAGGGAAGAAAGCGCACUGGUUAAUACCUGGUGUGGAUGACGGUACCUUGAUAAGAAGCACCGGCUAACUACGUGCCAGCCGCCGCCGUAA
This 502-nucleotide ribosomal RNA is filed under the name uncultured bacterium. RNAcentral describes it as "partial 16S ribosomal RNA". It matches the Rfam family "Bacterial small subunit ribosomal RNA", at positions 30 to 523 of the family's 1533-position model. The record is from RNAcentral.